AUUGAAAAAUAUUCAUUUACAAUUAAAUGAACUAUCGAGUCGAAUAUGACUGAAUAUCUGGAAUAAUAAUAAUCGAACAAUUUAUUAAUUAUUUGGUUCAUUUCCUAAAGCAGAGAAAUUUGAAGCAUAUUCAAGUUAAAUUGAAACAACAGAGAUAAUACAACAAUGUAAACUUGACUAGUCUAGUAGAAGUACCAAGAAUAAUGAUGCGUAUCACGUAGUGACAUGCAAAUAUCCUAUGGAUAGCGCAGAUUGACUAGAUCUCUUGAAAUAGUGGAAUCGUAAAAGAAAGUAAAUAUAAAUGCAAGAUAUAAUUAAGUUUAAUAAUGUGAUAAGUGUGCAAUCUCAGCCGAAAGAUGGUGAUUUAUUUGCUACUGAUCAUUAUUUGACAUAUAUGUUAAUGGGUUGUCAAUGUAUUUUAACACUUUUACUAUUUAAAUGUUUAUGUUUAGGCGAUAGAAUUUAUUAAGUAUGUUUAGAUUUAAUUUGUGAUAUUAUAUUACACUUCACAUGUAUGCACACCAUCCGAUAUGGCAAUCCGAUAUUUUUUUUCAUGUCCCUCAACAUAUCACCGAUUUCCACUAUGCGACAUAAAAAUUUUAGCCGUCUGACAUGAACCUGACAUUUGACAUAUAAAACCUUGCUUCUACUUUUGCUAUUAGAUAUUAUUGAACUCCAAAGUCUAUGUUUUCAUUUCUAAAUAUGUGCAUUUAUACACAAGUAUACAUCAACAUUUCUCCAUAUUUCUAUAAUCUGGUCUCCUUCAUGAACACUUCGAUCUCUCUUCACUCUAAUAUAUAUAAUUUGACGUAGUCCUCUACUCCCUUUUGCAUCAUAUCAAACUUAUAUGUACCAAAUUCUCCUUCAUUUAUAUCUAUCUUCUAAUUUAGGUUCUCAUAAACUAUGGAUGCGGGCUCAAGAUUCAUCUUAUAGCCCAGUAAUGCAACAUGUAAGUGGGCUAUGGACCUUUGCUAAGUGCCACAUAAAUUUAACCUAGAGGUAUCUUAGUAUCUUUGGACCUUUAAUAAAUGAUAAAUUUGCUCUGGAGGCCUGUAGGCACGGAAUGCCCUUCCUUGAUUUAGUCAAGCUUGGGGCCCGUUGGGCUGGUCUUGCAGUGAAGAGUAACUCAUACUUGUUAAAAACUGAGAAGCAAGAGAGUAACAAAGCCGAAGAUGGCAGUAGAAGAAUUGAUUGAAUCUCCACACAAAUACUUUGAUCAGAUCAUGAACCGCAAAUGUGAUCUCUCUUUCAUCUCUUCCUCUUACUUGCAUCGAAUUUUCUGGAAUUUAAAUUCUCUUAUAUUCUUCGAUCCCUCUUUCUGGAAAAGAAACAUUUUAAAUUCAGGAUUGCAUCCAAUACAUGAACGAUUUGAAGGGCAUCGGUAUUGUCUCAUAGGAAUUUUGGAUUAUACACUCAACACCCACUGAGCCACAUGUAGCAGUGAUCCAUGCAAAGCUCUGUUAUCAUCAAGCUUUUAGUGGAGUAGUCAACUUAUGAGGCAGUAUGAACCUGAAGGAGCCAGAUGGUAACAAAUCUAUCUUGCACACGGAAUAUUCACAAGUCAUGCAACUUUAUCUUCCAUCUCCACUACGUUUGGUGUUUCUUAUCUAAGUAUUCUGAAUACUUUGCACACUCUGCUACACCUGCACCCAUUAGCAAAAAGGAUUCACUUUCUUGAUUUUGAUCUUCAUAAAGUUCAAGUGGUUUGACCAGAAGUAGAUAUUAUGGGAAAAUAUCUUACCAAAUGAAAGGAAAGGGUUCCAUCAACAUUGCACUAGGCAUAAUCGUUUGACGUGACAUGUUAUUAUGGAGAUGGGAGGUUGGAAUUGGCAUGGAAGAAAUAUUCUUGACUGACUAAGAUGAUUGAUUUUCCUCCACUAGCUAGUUUAGUGGUUUUCUCUUGUGGGCAUAGGAUUAAAAAUUUGAAAUAAUAUUUGUUUAUGGGUGAUGUGCACUUUUUUUUUGAAGGGUAUCAUCAAAGAGCGUUAGUCCUGAAUAUGCUAUUAUGAUGCCUCUGAAUAUUUUAGUGUGAUAUGCGUCUACUACUAUCUAUCUGUUGCUGGAGGGAGACAAAGGAUGCAUGUAAGGCAUUGAGAUAUAAAUGGGUGCUUGAUACCUGCCAAAGGCACCCAUUAAUUAGGAUGGUGGCAGACCACUUAAAGUCCUUAUCCAUUUGAAGGUGGGAGAUAGUGGCAGUAGGCAUUUGAUCCUGCACCUUUCCUUGCAUUGACCUGUACAACUCGCAUUUUCUCAUCUCUGGUAGUCAACGACUUAUUGACUUAUUGUCCUUGUCCUCAUUGGACACCUGUUGUUGCUCUUUGAGUUUGUUGCCAGUUUUAGCAAUGGCCUUUUUGCCUGUCAUGCCCUAGGGGAUAGGCUCGAGGCAGGACACUGUGACAGAGUUAGCUAUCGACGUAAUUGACAAUUCUGUAAAUACCAGUACGAGGUUGCAACGCCGGUUUACUAAGCAUAAGUAACUCACCUCGUUUCAGCUAGUGCAGUUUUUGUUCACCUUCUUUCUUUCGCUUAUAAUGAAAUCAUUGUUGUCUUACUAGCCUGGUCACAAGCAAGCGCCUGUACUUUAAGUAUACACCUCAUGAUUAUGUCACGCUGAAUAUUACAUUUUGACUUACUAGUU
Molecule: long non-coding RNA, 2638 nt
Organism: Asparagus officinalis (garden asparagus)
Lineage: Eukaryota; Viridiplantae; Streptophyta; Magnoliopsida; Asparagales; Asparagaceae
Exons: 3
Source: RefSeq, a predicted model, not a curated record